GGGGGAUGUUUGAAACUCCCAAUGCUCAGGCUCUACCUCAGACCAGUUACAGUCAGAAUCUCUGGAGCCAAGGCCUAGGCAUCAGAGCUCCAAGGUUGAGAACCGCUGCUCUAAGCCAGCAUGGAAACUGCUCUGGCUCAGGAGUUAGGAGACCCAGAAGAUACCCCUCACUACAAAAAAGUGCCAGUGUCACUUUCACUGAGGCCCAAAGUGCAGACAGAAAAGAGAUAGUUCUGACGGCACUUAGGAAUUUGUUUUUGUACUCCUCUGGAAUUUGAGGAGAGGAGGGUGUGUCACGUGUCUUGGGAAUACCUAACAUUUCAAACGACAAAACGAUGCCACACUGUGAAAUGAGAUGGGAAGCUAUUGAGUAUCCCGGCCCGGCUCUGGGUAGCAACCUCUCUCCAGCCUCCAGGCCACGGGCACACAGAAGCUCUGCAGCGGUCUGCCUGCUGUGCAGCAGCCUCCGUCCACAGGCCCCCCGAGUUCUUUCUGAUAGUGGCCUGCCACCGGAGAGGCCACAGGCUGGAGCAAGGAGCUGACUCAUGGGGUAGGGAGAAAAUGGCCUGGAUCUUUGACAGAGGGUUCUGAGGAAGAAGUUUCCAGAAGAGGCAAUGCUGGAUCUUAGGGCACCCCUGGCCUUCCUGCCUCAUUAUCCUCUUCAUCCUGAUGUCCUAGAGACCUCUGCUGUCACCGCCUGCCUGCCCAGACCACUCCAUGGUUCACCCACUCCAUGGCCUGUUUUCCUUGCUCCUCCCUGGAAAGCCAAUCCCUCAUCUCCUGCUCUCUGAAGCUUUGCCUGCCAGCCCAACUUGCUCUCAUUGUUUGACAACUGUGCCUCAAUUACAGCACUUACCACAUUGUGUUAUCACGAUUUUUCUACGUGUUUCAUUUUCUCUCUAGACCAGAAAUUUCCAAGGCAUCAUCUGACACAUGGCUUGGCACUCAGUAAAUGAAUGAAGGAAUGAAUGAAUGAAUUCAUUAGUAAAUUUAAUUGAACUCACAUUGUGUGCUAAACACUGGCACUGUGUAUAUACAACUGUGAACAAAACCAGACUCCCUGCUCUUGAGUGGGCAGAGACACACCAUAAACCAACAAAUAAUUGUAGGUAAUUGGUCAGAUGAUGAUGAGUGCUAUGAAGAAAAAUAAGGCAGAGGGUGGCGCUAGAGAACACCAUUGUUCACAGAUCAGCCCUGAGCUAACAUCUGCUGCCAAGCCUCCACUUUUUGCUGAGGAAGACUGGCCCUGAGCUAACAUCUGUGCCCAUCCUCCUCUACUUUAUAUGUGGGACGCCUACCACAGCAUGGCUUGCCAAGUAGUGCCAUGUCCGCACCAGGGAUCCGAAUUGGCGAAGCCUGGGCGCCAAAGUGGAACGUGCCAACUUAACCACUGCACCCCGGGCUGGCCCCCUAGACAUAGCUGUUAAUUAGGUAACUGAAAAGGUAGACCAGGACUCUGAGGUAUCAUGGAGGUAGCAACUGCAGGAAGCAGCCAACGCUCCUAGGGCUAGGGCGGCUAAAGGAAGAGAUUGAUGUUAGAACUUAGAAACUCAAAGGUGGUCUUGGCAGCUGGGACUCAGACCUCUGAGAAGCGGGUGAUACUCAGCUGGUGCUGGGUGUCUCUGAGGGGCCCCGUGAGGUUGGUUCUACAGGCCUUGAAGAAACUGCGAGCUGUUUUCAGCUGCUGCUGCAGGGCCUGCUGCUUCUGGGACCACGCUUAUAGGAACAGGAGAGAGAGGGAAGCAAACUGGAGGGAGCAAGUCCCUGCCUCCUCCUCCAGCCUCGCACUUGCUCUCUAACGCCCCCUAUUGGCAGGGCCUGGCAGGGAGCCGCUACAAAGCAGGAAUUUGGUUUGCGGAGUCCCAGCCACCAAGUCACAAAGCUGAGCACAGAAGGUGGGUUUGCAGUUGAGAGACAAGAGCUUUGAAGAACUGACGUACCUUCCAAAGGAUACAUAUCCAUGCAGUCACAGAAAGAAGUGGCCUGUGGCCUGGCCAGCACCGGCUGACCCAGGAACACAAGUCAAAGAGAGAAGCAAGACAGCAAUUCUGCACCCAGCCAGUGACUGGAGAUUCAGUUUGCAAACAGGCACCAGCAGCUCAGAGUUAUCAUAGCAAGAUUUCAAGAAUGUUCAGUGACCGGCAGGAGCACUGCUAGAGCUACUAAGAAUCUGGCAAUAUUGAUGUUUCCAUGUCUUUCUUCCUAUCCAGCCCCGCCACCACGCACACACCUUGUAGACUCCUCCUUCAUUGCUGUGUCUGCCCUGUAGAAUACAGCUGUUGGACUUCACCCCCUCUCUCAGUGACAUGCCACGAUGGGGGAAACUGUUGCCUGCUCCUGGGAGCAAGCUGUUCUCUCUGCCAGUUGUCCAAACAAUGGAAAUUUCCAGGAUUCUUUGCUGCAGUUUUUCAAAGUUAAUGGACAUAGCUGACUUUUGAAAAAGCUAGCUGUUACCAGGGGCCAAGAGGAGUAUGAGAGAAAAAUGCUUACCUCCGGACUCUCCAAUGUGGAGGAAAAAUUCUGUCUAAAGAGAUGAGCAACAAUGACAAAAAUGCCCCCCUGCUCUUUAUAAAUCCUCAUUCUGGUUCUCACACCACAGGUUACCAGGACCCAGGUGGGAUGCUAAGACAGGGAGGCUAGACAGAACAAGAUAGGAUCU
RNAcentral lists this long non-coding RNA (2659 nucleotides) under Equus asinus (donkey). Its description in RNAcentral is "lncRNA (ENSEASG00005034588.1)". The record is from RNAcentral. Lineage: Eukaryota; Metazoa; Chordata; Mammalia; Perissodactyla; Equidae.